This 1062-nucleotide long non-coding RNA is filed under the name Monodelphis domestica (gray short-tailed opossum). Its description in RNAcentral is "lncRNA (ENSMODG00000034109.2)". Lineage: Eukaryota; Metazoa; Chordata; Mammalia; Didelphimorphia; Didelphidae. The record is from RNAcentral.
CUGGAAAGCAAGGGAACUAGGUCUACAACCAAGAAUCAACUAUCCAGCAAAACUGACUAUAUUCUUUCAGGGGAAAGUAUGGUCAUUCAACAAAAUAGAAGAAUUUCAAGAAUUCGUAAAGAAAAGACCAGACCUGAACAGAAAAUUUGAUGUACAAGCACAGAACUCAAGAGAAUCAUCAAAAGAUAAUUGGCAUUGGGGAGAGUUUAUCUGUUCCAGAUGAAUUCACCAAAGAGGACAAAGUCACUGGCCAGAGGUUUAGACAGGUGUUGACUGGAGCAAUUGUACAACUCCUUGAGAAUGCCUGAAGAUCAUAAUGCAGGUGAGUUCAUGGUUCACUGUUUGCUGCUAUACAAAGGAAUCAUUUCAGAUUUAUUUGCACUAUUCCUGCCAGGAGAAACAUGGAGAGUUCCAACUAGGUCUUCACAGAGGUCAUGCCAAUUCAUAUUAAUCAUAAAUGAUCAGCAGAGCUAAGUCAAAGGCUAUUUGAAAUGAAUCUUGAAGACAAGCUAGGUAAGGCAUCAGCUUCUGUCCUCUUCCAGAGGAGUUAUAACUGGGCUACAUCUAAUGGUUUUGGCAAUUUGUCUGAUACCCUUCUGAUCAAUUGCUUUUUGCAGCUUGCUGAAAGAAAGGGUUUCAUACACAAGGACUUUUUGCUAUUCUACAGCAGUGUUCUGGGAGAUUUUGUCCCUGCAAUGACCAGGAGCUCUUCUUUGAGCUCAAACUUUACCAUCAUCAAAAAUGAAUCUCAAGAGUGAAUUUGAGAAUAUGUUGAAGGAAGCAGGAACCUUUUCCCUUUUAGGAAUGUAAUUAAAAUUGUAUCUGAGACAUAAUUAAAUUCAGUCCACAUGAAAAGGUACUUACUAUAUUAUUAUUAUUGCCUGUGGAAUUUAUUAACAAAUAAUGAUUGCAUUUUUUUAGUCCUUAGGUCUAUUUUCACAAAAACAAAGAACAUGGUUGUUAAUAUAAACAAAAACCGCUUUGUUUUUUCUCUAUAGACAUUUUUGUUAGUAAUGGUCACAGAUGGCUUCUGGAAUAAACCCCUUAUUAGUCAAGAUUACA